GAACGAGGAGUCGGUCUAAGUGUCUGAUGGUGGCUGAGCUGCAACUGCUUCAACAUUGCUCAUCUCAAGGUUGGAGUGCAAUGGUGUGGUCUCCACUCUCUGCAACAUCCGCCUCCCAGGUUCAAGCGAUUCUCCUGCCUCAGCCUCCCAAGUAGCUGGGAUUACAGGUGGGUGUCACCGUGCUCAGCUAUUUUUUGUAUUUUUAGUGGAGAUGGGGUUUCACCAUAUUGGCUGCGCUGGCCAACUCCUGACCUCG
RNAcentral lists this long non-coding RNA (256 nucleotides) under Homo sapiens (human). Its description in RNAcentral is "HSALNT0246797". The record is from RNAcentral. Lineage: Eukaryota; Metazoa; Chordata; Mammalia; Primates; Hominidae.